Molecule: ribosomal RNA, 1610 nt
Filed under: marine metagenome
Description: bacterial LSU rRNA
Rfam family: Bacterial large subunit ribosomal RNA
Source: RNAcentral
GGUGAAAGGCCCCCUCGCCGUAAGCCCAAGGUUUCCUACGCAACGUUCAUCGGCGUAGGGUGAGUCGGCCCCUAAGGCGAGGCAGAAAUGCGUAGCUGAUGGGAAGCAGGUCAAUAUUCCUGCACCAUUGUUAGAUGCGAUGGGGGGACGGAUCGCGGAAGGUUGUCCGGGUGUUGGAAGUCCCGGUCGCUGCAUUGGAGAAGGCGCUUAGGCAAAUCCGGGCGCGGAAUUCAAGGGUGUGGCGCGAGCUCCUUAGGGAGCGAAGCAAUUGGAAGUGGUUCCAAGAAAAGCCUCUAAGCUUCAGUCUAAUGAUGACCGUACCGCAAACCGACACAGGUGGGCGAGAUGAGUAUUCUAAGGCGCUUGAGAGAACUCGGGAGAAGGAACUCGGCAAAUUGGUACCGUAACUUCGGGAUAAGGUACGCCCUUGUAGCUUGACUGGCUUGCGCCAGAAGGGUGAAGGGGUUGCAAUAAACUGGUGGCUGCGACUGUUUAAUAAAAACACAGCACUCUGCAAACACGAAAGUGGACGUAUAGGGUGUGACGCCUGCCCGGUGCCGGAAGAUUAAAUGAUGGGGUGCAAGCUCUUGAUUGAAGUCCCGGUAAACGGCGGCCGUAACUAUAACGGUCCUAAGGUAGCGAAAUUCCUUGUCGGGUAAGUUCCGACCUGCACGAAUGGCGUAACGAUGGCCACACUGUCUCCUCCCGAGACUCAGCGAAGUUGAAGUGUUUGUGAUGAUGCAAUCUACCCGCGGCUAGACGGAAAGACCCCAUGAACCUUUACUGUAGCUUUGCAUUGGACUUUGAACCGAUCUGUGUAGGAUAGGUGGGAGGCUAUGAAACCGGAACGCUAGUUUCGGUGGAGCCGUCCUUGAAAUACCACCCUGGUUUGUUUGAGGUUCUAACCUUGGCCCGUGAUCCGGGUCGGGGACAGUGCAUGGUAGGCAGUUUGACUGGGGCGGUCUCCUCCCAAAGCGUAACGGAGGAGUACGAAGGUACGCUAGGUACGGUCGGAAAUCGUGCUGAUAGUGCAAUGGCAUAAGCGUGCUUAACUGCGAGACCGACAAGUCGAGCAGGUGCGAAAGCAGGUCAUAGUGAUCCGGUGGUUCUGUAUGGAAGGGCCAUCGCUCAACGGAUAAAAGGUACUCUGGGGAUAACAGGCUGAUACCGCCCAAGAGUUCAUAUCGACGGCGGUGUUUGGCACCUCGAUGUCGGCUCAUCUCAUCCUGGGGCUGUAGCCGGUCCCAAGGGUAUGGCUGUUCGCCAUUUAAAGAGGUACGUGAGCUGGGUUUAAAACGUCGUGAGACAGUUUGGUCCCUAUCUGCCGUGGGCGUUGGAUAUUUGAAGGGGGCUGCUCCUAGUACGAGAGGACCGGAGUGGACGAACCUCUGGUGUACCGGUUGUCACGCCAGUGGCAUCGCCGGGUAGCUAUGUUCGGAAGAGAUAACCGCUGAAAGCAUCUAAGCGGGAAACUCGCCUUAAGAUGAGAUAUCCCUGGGGACUAGAUCCCCUUGAAGGGUCGUUCGAGACCAGGACGUUGAUAGGUCAGGUGUGUAAGCGCAGUAAUGCGUUCAGCUAACUGAUACUAAUUGCCCGUAAGGCUUGAUCCU